AUUGAACGCUGGCGGCAGGCUUAACACAUGCAAGUCGAACGAGUGGCGGACGGGUGAGUAAUGCUUGGGAAUCUAGCCUAUGGAGGGGGAUAACUACGGGAAACUGUAGCUAAUACCGCGUACCAUAGGAUGAGCACAAGUGGGAUUAGGUAGUAGGUGGGGGAAAGGCUCACCAAGCCGACGAUCUCUAGCUGGUCUGAGAGGAUGAAAAGCCACACUGGGACUGAGACACGGCCCAGACUCUUACGGGAGGCAGCAGUGGGGAAUAUUGCGCAAUGGGGGCAACCGGCCGCAGCCAUGCCGCGUGAAUGAAGAAGGCCUUAGGGUUGUAAAGGUCUUUCGGUAGAGAGGCGUUAACUACAGAAGAAGCACCGGCUAACUCCGUGCCAGCAGCCGCGGUAAUUC
RNAcentral lists this ribosomal RNA (405 nucleotides) under uncultured bacterium. RNAcentral describes it as "partial 16S ribosomal RNA". It matches the Rfam family "Bacterial small subunit ribosomal RNA", at positions 30 to 526 of the family's 1533-position model. The record is from RNAcentral.